Molecule: ribosomal RNA, 493 nt
Filed under: uncultured bacterium
Lineage: Bacteria
Description: partial 16S ribosomal RNA
Rfam family: Bacterial small subunit ribosomal RNA
Source: RNAcentral
GAUCAACGCUGGCGGCAUGCCUUACACAUGCAAGUCGAACGGUAACAGGUUAAGCUGACGAGUGGCGAACGGGUGAGCAAUACAUCGGAACGUGCCCAGACGUGGGGGAUAACGUAGCGAAAGCUACGCUAAUACCGCAUACGAACUGAGGUUGAAAGCGGGGGACCGUAAGGCCUCGCGCGGUUGGAGCGGCCGAUGGCAGAUUAGGUAGUUGGUGGGGUAAAGGCUUACCAAGCCUGCGAUCUGUAGCUGGUCUGAGAGGACGGCCAGCCACACUAGGGGUGAGGCACGUCCCAGACUCCUACGGGAGGCAGCAGUGGGGAAUUUUGGACAAUGGGCGCAAGCCUGAUCCAGCAAUGCCGCGUGCAGGAUGAAGGCCUUCGGGUUGUAAACUGCUUUUGUACGGAGCGAAACGGCUUCCACUAAUACUGGGGGCUAAUGACGGUACCGUAAGAAUAAGCACCGGCUAACUACGUGCCAGCAGCCGCCGUAA